Hypanus sabinus (Atlantic stingray) is the source of this 1948-nucleotide long non-coding RNA. RefSeq lists it as uncharacterized. Lineage: Eukaryota; Metazoa; Chordata; Chondrichthyes; Myliobatiformes; Dasyatidae. The record is from RefSeq and is a predicted model, not a curated record. The transcript is spliced from 4 exons.
CUGACUGGAAAAAAGAUCCCUUGUUUUUUUUUCCAUUAAAGACAACCCCCGGUUGUGACAGAACUCCCCACCCCACCCCGAACGGACCCGUUAUGGCCUCCGACCGUUAUGGUUUCAAAGCGGGCGAACCCUCUGGAAGGUUCGCGAGCCUCGCACCGUUUCCGAGAAGUGCUAUGAUCCCCGUGGCGAGGUCCCAAUACGUUCUGGAAACUCAAGUUUGACUUGACAGGUGUUACAGGAAAUCUCUGGCCAGAUUAAAUGGUCAUACAAGAAACAAGGUCUCGAAGAGUGCGUUUCAAAUUUAUGAUUAGUCCUUUCGGCCUGACCAUUCGUUUGCGGGUGAAAACCGGAGGAAAGGCUGGAAGUAGCUCCGGCGCAGGCAAGAGGAAGGAGGUGUGAGUCCGCUGGCCGGUCACUGGAACUUCCAUCGCCGCCAAACACAAUUCAGAAAGAUUUGACGGAUGUAAUGAAAGGCUUCAUCUUCUUCUUAAGCCCAUCACCCCUACUGGCUGCCAAUAGAAGCUCGCCAGAGUCUUCUCUCCCGGGUUGCAGAGAUACAGCAUGGAAUAGGCCCUUCCGGGUUCUUGAGCCAAACAGCCCAGCAAUCCCUGACGACUCCAAUUUCAAUCCUAUCCUAAUCAUGGGACAAUUUACAAUAACCAAGACUGUGGAAGGAAAUCGGAGAUCCUGGAGAAAGCCCACACAUUCCAAGGGGAGGACAUACAGAGACUCCUUACAGAAUUGAACUCUGAACUGCGGCACACCCAGAGCCAUAAAGGUCAGACUUACCGCUACGCUACUGUGGCACGCCAAUAAUUGUCUACUUGUAUUUUAUAUAAUUACGGAUAUUUCCACCACUAGGACAUUAUAUAUGUAUAUGAAAGUUUAAUAAAACCCUAGUGGUUAUAUUGGUAUAAUUCUGGAAAGCCCUGAAAGACUCUUUGUUCUGUAUUAUUUGAAUAAUGGCUUUCUAAUUGAUUAACUCUUAUCUACAAAUUUGAAUGGAAUUUUUCCUUAUCUAUGGGUAUAAAAUAGCUAAGCACAAACCAGCUCUAUUUUAGUCUCAAAUUCUUGAUCUUAGCUUUCCCUGCAAUAUACCCACAGACUUGGCUCCCUGUUUUAUCAAAGCUUAAUGAAAUAAUUGCAAAGCAACAAGUUUUGUGCCUCUUUCCUGACUUCUGAAUGAACCUUGGGUUUAAUCAUCAGGAUCCAAGUAGACCACUGGCAUCCUUAGCCAUGUUUAUCAUUUAAGAGGUUGGAACAAGCCAAGAGGUAGCACAGUAGCCCAAUGGCUUGUGUACCGUUUUACAGUGCUCGCACUCACCAAGCAGGGUUCAAAGCCCAACACUGUCUGCAUUCUUCCCACGACCACACGGGUUUCCUCCGAGUGCUCUCACAUUCCAAAGAGACGUACAAGUUAAGGUCAGUAAGUAUUGGGCAUGUUAUGUUUGUGCAGCAAUGUGGAAAGGAUGGGUUGUCAUUGCAGAGAGGAGGUUCACGAGGAUGAUUCCAGGAAUGAAGGGGUUAACAUGAGGAGUGUUUGGCAGCUUUGGGCCUGUUCUCACUGGAAUUCAGAAGAAUGUGGGGGAAUCUCAUUGAAGCCUACUAAAUGUUGAAAGGAUAAGAUAGGGUGGAUGAGGAGAGGAUGUUUUCUCUGGUGGGAGUAUCCAGAACUGGAGGGCACAGCCUCAAAAUUGAGGGGUUGUGGCGACCCACUUCCCAGCGCACUCGAACCAGCUCACAAAGCGGUGCGCGCCAAGCCUGCUUCACCAGCAAGGGGAAAAGCCCGCACGUGGGAUGGGACUGUGAAUACGCGCCCCCUACAGCAUUCCUGCCUGGGGAGGGCGGGAUCAGGAAGGCUUUAAAGCGAGGCUGCGAAGUUUGAAUAAAUCUCUUUUGCAACUGCAGCUCACCAACUCCGUGUCGUUAUUUUAGCGCUGCGUGUAGC